Long non-coding RNA from Gasterosteus aculeatus aculeatus (three-spined stickleback), 381 nucleotides. The record is from Ensembl. Lineage: Eukaryota; Metazoa; Chordata; Actinopteri; Perciformes; Gasterosteidae.
CACACGGCAAUGAAAUGUCUGUCAUUGGUACAGACUUUUCCCCCUGACGCUCGGGUUACACCGACUCAAACAGCGCUUGUCCACGCUGGUGAGUUCCCAGUUCCUACCCUUCCUGUCUGCGUGGCGGGUAAAGGAGGGAGGCCAGGCCGCUACGGCAUGACGGCCGGUGGCACCGACCCUGCGUUUCCAUCGGCGCCUGCCGUCCGCGCCAAGCCCGAAAGAGGUCUCUCCCGGCGAGGCAGCUGCUGGAGAGAUCAGCGCCUGCGUUCGCAACGCACCCGCUGAGAAGCCGAGCGCCAUGGGAGAACACUCCCAGAUCAUUUCCAUAAAUAUGAGUGAUAUGCCUCCGUUCCUCUUCGGUGUGCAAGUCCCUGAGGGAGG